Molecule: long non-coding RNA, 1400 nt
Filed under: Canis lupus familiaris (dog)
Lineage: Eukaryota; Metazoa; Chordata; Mammalia; Carnivora; Canidae
Description: lncRNA (ENSCAFG00030013711.1)
Source: RNAcentral
AUGGAGCCUGUGAGUGAGGGUGAAUGAGAAAGAGAAAGCAAACGAGAGAGUUUGCUCCCCUGAAAUCCUGGCCAGCGGUCAUGGCUUUGGCUGCGGAAUUUCUCUGAGGGAGAGUGAUGGAAAGCCCAGAGAUUACCGAGCAUCUGAGAGGAGUCAGACAUGGACAUCGUGCCACACUUUGCACCGUGGAAAACGGCAGAGAAAUCUAUAAGCUUGGCUUUCGGAGAAUAGGUCCCGGAGGUGGGAUAAAGUGGCUCCGUGCACCUGCAGCUCAGCUGGGUGCCUCCGGGGGAAUCGCGCCACCUCAAGCAAGACAAGACCCACUUGCCAGGAGUCUGGGGGCAGAGAGCUGGGGAAGGAGCCCGCCUGGGGGCCUCUGGGUUCCAGCCCAGCCUCCCAGCUCCACAGUAAUGCCUUCUGAUGCCAGCAGAAGUCCCAUUCUCAUGCCAAUGGAGAGAUUAUGGGAGAAGAAUGUGCCUCCUGUAGGGCCCCCAAGAACGGGCCCUGGGGACAGGGACGGGUCCCCGGAGUCUGUUCCAGACUGGCCUCCCAGGACCCAGCACUGGUUCCAGCCCCACACCCAGCAGUCCUGGUAAGUCCCCGGGCAGGCUGGGUAGGUCGCACAGUUCCAAUUGCCCAUAGAGCUGGACAACUGCCUUCCUCCUCUCCCCAUGCAAACAACAAUCCACUUGACAACAACACCUGCCUUACCUCACCCCUCCCACGACGAAGGUGCUUCACGUACCUGGGUUUGCUCCUCCCAGAACCCUCACCAUGGAAAUGAGGCUCAUCGGGGUGGCACUUUGCCCCAGACCUUGGCGCUGUGAUGCCAGGAUCCAAAUCCAGGUGUGUGCACCCCAGGACUCCAGCUCCUAGGCCUUUUGGCUCCGUCCUGGGUUCAUGGAGCUGGUGGCAUUAGAGAUUCAUGGGACACAAGGUAGCAGCCGGGAAGCCUGGUAGCUGAGGGAGGGUGGCGUUUGAUGUAGGCAUAGCCAGGACCCAGGUGCCUGAAAAGGACCCAGGGAUGGUGGCUCAGGUCCAAGAGGCAGCGUCCUUCAGUGCUGAAUCUGAGUUCCCAGCCCAGGCCACACUGGGGUGGGGGAGCAACCAGAGUUGGAUGGGAAUUCUUAAAGGAGCUGACAGGGAUUUUAGUAAAGUGGUCAGCUGACUGCUCACGGGGGACGCGGUGGGCAGGCCCCAGACCUAGAAACCUCUGCCUACUUUUCAGCUUGCCGAACUCCUACUCAUCCUUCAAGGCCCAAUUAAAAUACCCCCCCACUGUGAGGCCCUCCCCGACUCCUCCAAGCUGACUCCCUCCCCCGUGCUCCCCCUUCCCAAGCCUCCCUCCUUAGGCCUCCCUCCUCCCCCAGCCUGCAAAGCUCCUGCAGAAGGAUCCGUGC